Molecule: long non-coding RNA, 921 nt
Filed under: Eucalyptus grandis
Lineage: Eukaryota; Viridiplantae; Streptophyta; Magnoliopsida; Myrtales; Myrtaceae
Description: long non-coding RNA (EGRA_LNC005249)
Source: RNAcentral
ACAAAACCGACCCGGGUCGGAUCCGCGGGUUGGGUCCGACCCGGGCCGGCGACCAAAAUAUUAUUAUUUUAAUUAUUAUUAUUAAAACGACGCCGUGGCCGAGCGUUUGGGGGCGCUCGGCCCGGCUCGACGACCCGGGUUCCUAGCGGAACCCUACCCAGAUCCGACCCGACUUCCAACCCGACUCGCAGCCGCCCCUCUAAACCCUACCCGGUUCGCAGCCCGGGUCCGAUCCGAUGACCUGAGGCUGCGACCCGAAAAAAAUGCGAACCCUAGGGUUCUCGAUUCGCGGCGCCGAAGAGGGGAAGGCUGAGGUGCAGCGGCGGCGACGGCGACGGCGACGAGGGCAGCGACGCAGACGAUGACGACGAUUGGACUACAGGAGGGCUGAUGGCGACGGUGACGGCGCGAUACCUGCUUGGCGACGGCGCGACAAGAGCGAAGACCGCGACGGCGAGACCCACACAAAUCCCUUCCCCUCCUGCGCUUCUCUCUCUACUCUCCCCUCCGGCGAGGCUCAGAUCUGAGGCCGCGAACCCUCAGCCCCCCUCCCUGAAGUCUCUCAGUGGGGUGUCCAAGGGCUGCGACUCGAUCUGGCUCCGUCUCUCUCUCUCCGGGAUCUCUGUGCUCAGCCUCCACCCACUCGGAUCUCUCCCCCUCGUCUCCGGCCGCGAGUUCUCGGAUCUCGGCCUGCUCGUCCUCGGGCCCCCCUUCUGAAGUCUCUCAGUGGGAGGUUUCGAGGAUCUGCAGCCUUCGAUCCUUCUCGGCGUGUCCCUCAACGACAGAAACAAGGGCCUAUUUAUAGGCGAGGGGGCAGCCGGUCGACGGAGCUUCGAUCGCUGGUCCCCGUGCGCCAAGCAGCCUCCGUCGGCCGAACCGGCGUCCCAUCUGACGCCAGCUACCCCUCCCACGUGGGUCGCC